This is a long non-coding RNA of Pan troglodytes (chimpanzee), 993 nucleotides long. RefSeq lists it as uncharacterized. NCBI's taxonomy places the organism in Eukaryota, Metazoa, Chordata, Mammalia, Primates, Hominidae. The record is from RefSeq and is a predicted model, not a curated record. The transcript is spliced from 2 exons.
CACUUCUGAUGCAAUUGUCAUGGACUGGAGACCAGCCUCCAUACAGGACCUGCAGGCACAUUUUGUUAUGCCCUGCACAGCGAAAUACAAAUCCAAUAAAAGUAAAUGCGCAAGUCUGAGGGGAACAGCUUGAAGAUCUUAUAUACCACCCCACCACAGUGUUUCUAAAGGUUAGGCAAUGUCGCUGAAAAUAGAGAAGAGGAAAGGUACAUCCAGAAAGUGGAAUAAUAACCCUCCAAAGACAUCCACGUUCUAAUCCCCGGGAUCUGUGAAGACGUUACCUGAUGGAGCGAAAGCAACUUUGCAGAUGUGAUUAAAUUAAGGGCCUUGAGGUGGUGAGAUUAUCCUGUAUUAUCUGGAUGGGCCCAAUCCAAUCACACUGUUCUUUUCAUCAGAGAACCUUUCUUGGCCGAGUUCAUAGUCAGAGGGAGAUGUGACUACAGAAGAAUGGUUGGACACGUGCAACACUGUGGGCUUUACAGAGGAAGGAAGGGGACAUGAGCCAAGGAACUCUGGCAGCCCCUAGAAGCUAAAAAAGCUGGAACAUCUAAGGAUGGUCUCUCUGUGCGGCCUGGGCUUCUUCAUCACAUGGUGCCUGGGUCCAAGAAACAGGAAGUGGAAGCUGCCAGGUUCUGAAGACCUGGGCCUGGAGACUGGCACUGCUCACUUCCACUAUAUUUCAUUAGCCAAGUAAGCACAGAACCCAGAUUCAAGGAGAGGGGACAUAGACUCCACUUCUCAAUGAGAAGAGUAUCACAGAACUUGGGGGCCAUAUUUUAAAACCACCAAAGCUCGGAACUCCUCUUCUUCCUUAUCAAUGCCUACUUUUCAAGGAAAGAUUUUUUUUUUUUACAAAACCUUUAUAAAGACAGUCUUUACAUCUUGCAUGCCUUUGCUAUUCUAUAACUAUAAAGUACCCCACUACAUGUCAAACACUGUGUAGACUGUUACUCUUUCAAGCAAUGACAUAAAGGAGGAAAUAGAGAAAUGCAA